GAUGAAGAACGUAGCGAAAUGCGAUACGUAAUGUGAAUUGCAAAUUCAGUGAAUCAUCGAGUCUUUGAACGCACAUUGCGCCCCCUGGUAUUCCGGGGGGCAUGCCUGUCCGAGCGUCAUUGCUGCCCUCAAGCACGGCUUGUGUGUUGGGCCCCGUCCUCCGAUCCCGGGGGACGGGCCCGAAAGGCAGCGGCGGCACCGCGUCCGGUCCUCGAGCGUAUGGGGCUUUGUCACCCGCUCUGUAGGCCCGGCCGGCGCUUGCCGAUCAACCCAAAUUUUUAUCCAGGUUGACCUCGGAUCAGGUAGGGAAACCCGCUGAACUUAAGCAUAUCAAUAAGCGGAGGA
This 345-nucleotide unclassified non-coding RNA is filed under the name soil metagenome. RNAcentral describes it as "partial contains 5.8S ribosomal RNA, internal transcribed spacer 2, and large subunit ribosomal RNA". The stretch from base 1 to 119 matches the Rfam family "5.8S ribosomal RNA", at positions 35 to 154 of the family's 154-position model. The record is from RNAcentral.